This 407-nucleotide ribosomal RNA is filed under the name uncultured microorganism. RNAcentral's name for it is "bacterial SSU rRNA". It matches the Rfam family "Archaeal small subunit ribosomal RNA", at positions 330 to 741 of the family's 1478-position model. The record is from RNAcentral.
GCGCAGCAGGCGAGAAACUUCACAAUGUGCGAAGGCACGAUGAGGGAAUCCCAAGUGCUUGCACGUAAGUGUAAGCUGUUUCUCUGUCUAAAACGCAGAGAGAGUAAGGGCUGGGUAAGACGGGUGCCAGCCGCCGCGGUAAUACCUGCAGCUCGAGUGGUGACCGUUAUUAUUGGGCCUAAAACGUCCGUAGCCGGUUUAAUAAAUGCCUGGGUAAAUCGGACCGCUUAACGGUUCGAAUUCCGGGUAGACUGUUAAACUUGAGACCGGGAGAAGUUAGAGGUACUCCUGGGGUAGAGGUGAAAUUCUGUAAUCCUAGGGGACCACCAGUGGCGAAGGCGUCUAACUAGAACGGGUCUGACGGUGAGGGACGAAGCCCUGGGGCGCAAACGGGAUUAGAUACCCGU